AGUCGAACGAUGACGGUGGUGCUUGCACCGCCUGAUUAGUGGCGAACGGGUGAGUAACACGUGAGUAACCUGCCCUCCACUUCGGGAUAACCUCGGGAAAUCGUGGCUAAUACCGGAUAUGAGCACUCAUCGCAUGGUGGGUGUUGGAAAGAUUUAUCGGUGGGGGAUGGACUCGCGGCCUAUCAGUUUGUUGGUGAGGUGAUGGCUCACCAAGACGAUGACGGGUAGCCGGCCUGAGAGGGCGACCGGCCACACUGGGACUGAGACACGGCCCAGACUCCUACGGGAGGCAGCAGUGGGGAAUAUUGCACAAUGGGCGAAAGCCUGAUGCAGCGACGCCGCGUGGGGGAUGACGGCCUUCGGGUUGUAAACCCCUUUCAGUAGGGAAGAAGCGAGAGUGACGGUACCUGCAGAAGAAGCGCCGGCUAACUACGUGCCAGCAGCCGCGGUAAUACGUAGGGCGCAAGCGUUGUCCGGAAUUAUUGGGCGUAAAGAGCUUGUAGGUGGCUUGUCGCGUCUGCCGUGAAAACCCGAGGCUCAACCUCGGGCGUGCGGUGGGUA
RNAcentral lists this ribosomal RNA (561 nucleotides) under Brachybacterium sp. CH408b_13C. RNAcentral describes it as "bacterial SSU rRNA". It matches the Rfam family "Bacterial small subunit ribosomal RNA", at positions 60 to 632 of the family's 1533-position model. The record is from RNAcentral. Lineage: Bacteria; Bacillati; Actinomycetota; Actinomycetes; Micrococcales; Dermabacteraceae.